This 111-nucleotide ribosomal RNA is filed under the name Chinchilla lanigera (long-tailed chinchilla). Lineage: Eukaryota; Metazoa; Chordata; Mammalia; Rodentia; Chinchillidae. The record is from RNAcentral.
GUCUACUGCCAUACCACCCUGAAUGUGUCUGAUCUCAGAAGCUAAGCAGGGUCGGGCCUGGUUAGUACUUGGAUGGGAGACAUGGAGGUGAAGUGUAGGCUACGGGAAGCC